Molecule: ribosomal RNA, 500 nt
Filed under: uncultured bacterium
Lineage: Bacteria
Description: partial 16S ribosomal RNA
Rfam family: Bacterial small subunit ribosomal RNA
Source: RNAcentral
AUUGAACGCUGGCGGCAUGCCUUACACAUGCAAGUCGAACGGCAGCACGGGAGCAAUCCUGGUGGCGAGUGGCGAACGGGUGAGUAAUAUAUCGGAACGUGCCCAGUCGUGGGGGAUAACGCAGCGAAAGCUGUGCUAAUACCGCAUACGAUCUAUGGAUGAAAGCGGGGGAUCGCAAGACCUCGCGCGAUUGGAGCGGCCGAUAUCAGAUUAGCUAGUUGGUGGGGUAAAGGCCCACCAAGGCGACGAUCUGUAGCUGGUCUGAGAGGACGACCAGCCACACUGGAACUGAGAAACGGUCCAGACUCCUACGGGAGGCAGCAGUGGGGAAUUUUGGCCAAUGGGCGCAAGCCUGAUCCAGCAAUGCCGCGUGCAGGAUGAAGGCCUUCGGGUUGUAAACUGCUUUUGUACGGAGCGAAACGGUCUGCCCUAAUACGGUGGGCUAAUGACGGUACCGUAAGAAUAAGCACCGGCUAUCUACGUGCCAGCAGCCGCCGUAA